This 500-nucleotide ribosomal RNA is filed under the name uncultured bacterium. RNAcentral describes it as "partial 16S ribosomal RNA". It matches the Rfam family "Bacterial small subunit ribosomal RNA", at positions 30 to 523 of the family's 1533-position model. The record is from RNAcentral.
AUUGAACGCUGGCGGAAUGCUUUACACAUGCAAGUCGAACGGCAGCACGGACUUCGGUCUGGCGGCGAGUGGCGAACGGGUGAGUAAUGUAUCGGAACGUGCCCAGUCGUGGGGGAUAACGUAGUGAAAAUUACGCUAAUACCGCAUACGAUCUAUGGAUGAAAGCGGGGGAUCGCAAGACCUCGCGCGAUUGGAGCGGCCGAUAUCAGAUUAGGUAGUUGGUGGGGUAAAGGCCCACCAAGCCAACGAUCUGUAGCUGGUCUGAGAGGACGACCAGCCACACUGGAACUGAGACACGGUCCAGACUCCUACGGGAGGCAGCAGUGGGGAAUUUUGGACAAUGGGAGAAAGCCUGAUCCAGCCAUUCCGCGUGCAGGAUGAAGGCCCUCGGGUUGUAAACUGCUUUUGUACAGAACGAAAAGGUUUCUACUAAUACCAGGAGCUCAUGACGGUACUGUAAGAAUAAGCACCGGCUAACUACGUGCCAGCAGCCGCCGUAA